RNAcentral lists this transfer RNA (73 nucleotides) under Stegodyphus mimosarum. It matches the Rfam family "tRNA". From Rfam's summary of the family: Transfer RNA (tRNA) molecules are approximately 80 nucleotides in length. Their secondary structure includes four short double-helical elements and three loops (D, anti-codon, and T loops). Further hydrogen bonds mediate the characteristic L-shaped molecular structure. tRNAs have two regions of fundamental functional importance: the anti-codon, which is responsible for specific mRNA codon recognition, and the 3' end, to which the tRNAs corresponding amino acid is attached (by aminoacyl-tRNA synthetases). tRNAs cope with the degeneracy of the genetic code in two manners: having more than one tRNA (with a specific anti-codon) for a particular amino acid; and 'wobble' base-pairing, i.e. permitting non-standard base-pairing at the 3rd anti-codon position. The record is from Rfam by way of RNAcentral. Lineage: Eukaryota; Metazoa; Arthropoda; Arachnida; Araneae; Eresidae.
AUCUUCGUGGUGUAAUGGUCAGCACACUCGGCGCGUAGUCGUGAGGUCCGAGGUUCGAGUCCCGGCGAGGGCG